UACGAAGGGGGCUAGCGUUGCUCGGAAUUACUGGGCGUAAAGCGCACGUAGGCGGCUUUCUAAGUCGGGGGUGAAAUCCUGGAGCUCAACUCCAGAACUGCCUUCGAUACUGGAGAGCUUGAGUCCGGGAGAGGUGAGUGGAACUGCGAGUGUAGAGGUGAAAUUCGUAGAUAUUCGCAAGAACACCAGUGGCGAAGGCGGCUCACUG
RNAcentral lists this ribosomal RNA (208 nucleotides) under uncultured bacterium. RNAcentral's name for it is "partial 16S ribosomal RNA". It matches the Rfam family "Bacterial small subunit ribosomal RNA", at positions 524 to 731 of the family's 1533-position model. The record is from RNAcentral.